Molecule: ribosomal RNA, 1485 nt
Filed under: Triticum aestivum (bread wheat)
Lineage: Eukaryota; Viridiplantae; Streptophyta; Magnoliopsida; Poales; Poaceae
Description: partial small subunit ribosomal RNA
Source: RNAcentral
AUGGAGCUCUUCCUCUACUCAACGUACGUCCUCCUCCUCGUCUCCUCCCUGUACGUCCUCCGCCACUUCGCCGACGCCCGCCGCAACCUGCCGCCGGGUCCCCCCUCAUGGCCUCUCAUCGGAAACCUCCUCGACCUCGGCACCCUGCCGCACCGCUCCCUCGCGCGCCUCGCCGAGCGCCACGGCCCGCUCAUGACGCUCCGCCUCGGCGCCCUCACCACCGUCGUCGCCUCCUCCGCGGACACCGCCCGCGACGUCCUGCAGCGCCACGACGCCGCCUUCUCCGCGCGCUCCGUGCCCGACGCCGUCCGCGCGUGCGCCUACGACAGCUUCUCCAUGGGCUGGCUCCCGCCGAGCAGCCCCCACUGGCGCGCCCUCCGCAAGCUGUGCUCGGGGGAGCUCUUCGCGCCGCACCGCCUCGACGCGCACCAGUCCAUCCGCCGGGAGAAAGUGCAGCAGCUGGUGUCCCAUGUCGACCGGCUGUCGCGAGAGGGCGCGGCCGUGGACAUCAGCCUCGUCGUGUUCACCACUGCGCUCAACCUGCUCUCCUGCACCAUAUUCUCAGCCGACAUCGCCGACCUCGGCGACAGAGGAGGGUCGGGGCAGUUCAUGGCCGUGAUCUCAGAGUCCCUGCAAGUCGCUGGGCAGCCCAACUUGUCGGACUUCUUCCCUGUGGUCGCGCCUCUCGACCCGCAACGGCUGAGGAAGCGCCUCGCCAUGGGGUUCAAGCAGCUGCAUGCCAUAUUCGACGAGCAGAUCGAGCGGCGCAUGCGGGAGCGCACCGCCGGGCAGCUGCCCAAGAAUGACUUCAUGACGUGCUGCUCGACUACCGCGGAUGGCCGGGGACUCGAUCGGGAAAUGCUGCGCGCAUUACUUAUGGAUUUGUUUAUCGCCGGAAGUGAUACAAGUGCAGCAACCUUUGAGUGGGCAAUGGCUGAGCUGCUACAAAAUCCAUCAUCCGUGGCGAAAGCUCGUGACGAACUCGCACAAGUGAUAGGCUCCAGAUCAGAAAUCGAGGAAUCGGACAUUGGCCAGCUCAAGUACCUCCAGGCCAUCGUGAAAGAGGUGUUUCGCCUCCAUCCUCCUGCUCCGCUCUUGUUACCUCGCCAAGCUGAAGCAACGACGGAGCUACGGGGCUACACUGUGCCCAAGGGCGCACGUGUGAUGGUGAAUGUUUGGGCCAUCGGCAGGGACAGCGAGCUUUGGUCUGAACCAGAGAAGUUCAUGCCGGAGAGGUUUUUGGGGAAAGACAUGGAUUACCGAGGCCGGGACUUUGAGCUCCUUCCGUUUGGUUCUGGCCGACGGAUCUGCCCCGGAAUGCCGCUGGCCGUGCGCAUGGUCCAUUUGAUGCUUGCAACACUGUUGUACCGGUUUGAAUGGAAACUUCCAAAAGAAGUAGAGGAAAAUGGGGUGGACAUGGAGGAGAAGUUCGGGAUAGUGUUAGCAUUGGGCACCCCUCUCCAGGCCAUAGCUGAACCAGUUUAA